This 486-nucleotide ribosomal RNA is filed under the name uncultured bacterium. RNAcentral describes it as "bacterial SSU rRNA". It matches the Rfam family "Bacterial small subunit ribosomal RNA", at positions 30 to 514 of the family's 1533-position model. The record is from RNAcentral.
AUUGAACGCUGGCGGUAUGCUUAACACAUGCAAGUCGAACGGUAGCAGGCCUUCGGGCGCUGACGAGUGGCGGACGGGUGAGUAACGCGUAGGAAUCUGCCUCAUAGUGGGGGACAACGUGGGGAAACUCACGCUAAUACCGCAUACGCCUACGGGGAAAGCGGGGGAUCUUCGGACCUCGCGCUAUGAGAUGAGCCUGCGUUAGAUUAGCUAGUUGGUAGGGUAAAGGCCUACCAAGGCGACGAUCUAUAGCUGGUCUGAGAGGACGAUCAGCCACACUGGGACUGAGACACGGCCCAGACUCCUACGGGAGGCAGCAGUGGGGAAUAUUGGACAAUGGGCGCAAGCCUGAUCCAGCAAUACGCGUGUGUGAAGAAGCCUUAGGGUGUAAAGCACUUUCAAUUGGGAGGGAAAACCUAGUCGGUCAAUACCCGGCAGCUUGACAUUACCUUUAGAAGAAGCACCGGCUAAACUCCGUGCCAGCAG